GAUGAACGCUGGCGGCGUGCCUAAUACAUGCAAGUCGAGCGAACGGACGAGAAGCUUGCUUUUCUGAUGUUAGCGGCGGACGGGUGAGUAACACGUGGAUAACCUACCUAUAGGACUGGGAUAACGUCGGGAAACCGGAGCUAAUACCGGAUAAUAUUUUGAACCGCAUGGUUCAAAAAUGAAAGACGGUCUUGCUGUCACUUAUAGAUGUAUCCGCGCUGCAUUAGCUAGUUGGUAAGGUAACGGCUUACCAAGGCAACGAUGCAUAGCCGACCUGAGAGGGUGAUCGGCCACACUGGAACUGAGACACGGUCCAGACUCCUACGGGAGGCAGCAGUAGGGAAUCUUCCGCAAUGGGCGAAAGCCUGACGGAGCAACGCCGCGUGAGUGAUGAAGGUCUUCGGAUCGUAAAACUCUGUUAUUAGGGAAGAACAUAUGUGUAAGUAACUGUGCACAUCUUGACGGUACCUAAUCAGAAAGCCACGGCUAACUACGUG
RNAcentral lists this ribosomal RNA (497 nucleotides) under uncultured bacterium. RNAcentral describes it as "partial 16S ribosomal RNA". It matches the Rfam family "Bacterial small subunit ribosomal RNA", at positions 28 to 507 of the family's 1533-position model. The record is from RNAcentral.